UAAUCCGAUACAGACUCAAGCUAUGCUUGGGGGGAAAUUUUUUAAUUUAGAAAAGAUAAUAAUCAACCAGCCCCAAAGGCCAAAGUCAUAAUUUUGAUAUAUAAUUUUACGAGUGGUGUCAGUAGAAAGAAAUUAUUUAAGCAAAGCUGAACAUGACAAUUAUCCAACAAGUGGACUAGGUGAAAAAAUGUGGGUUGCGAAGGACAUUGAAGAUCUUAACCGAACUAUAUGACUGAGAGAAGCAGCGGAAGUUACGAAGCGAAGAGAACCCGUGAAGACUAUGAUGGGGCUGGAAGCUCUAAUGACAAACCUCACCCAAAAAGGAUUGCAAGACUCCCAGAAAUUAUGGCCCACGGUAACUCUGACUUUGAGGAGUCAAGUGAGUACAAAGACUGUAGUGAAGACUGAAGAGCUAAGCGAAAGUGACCUUGAAGGUUAAUCAACUUUUUUCCCUGUGGCAAAGUUGGCCAAUAGAGAGGUUGUGGUGAAGGACAUUCAACAGCUUACAAAUGUUUGGGUUUGAUAGGUGGACAUAUGUCCUGGCGGAGCCUUGAUCCCUGGUAACCAUUGCCCCUAAGUUCUUUAUGAACAAUAGCUUGGAUAACAGGCGGCAAACUCUGAAUCUUGUACUCUUUUCUUCUUGUGCUGCUUUGGUUUCAAUGUACAAAAAAAGAAUGGCAAGACAAAGCUUUUUGUUGGUGUUUUAAACAGAAGUAGAAAUCAUGUGCUGGAAAGCAAGUAAACAUCGACACUGGAAGCUCUCACUGCCAAAGGAUUGUUCAGUUUAAUUAUAUCGGUUUACUGAUAAGCUGAUAUGGCGUCAUACAACUCCUAAACAUGGUAUGCACAAGCCUAUCAUGCAGAUUUGGAUCAGAGUAACUGUGGGAGAGUACCGAGGUGAGUGUGCCCGAUUAUGGAGGGAUAGCUGGUCUUGCUGACAGUUAAGCGACACUGGCAGAGACGGUGCAGAUGGAGUGGUUUUGCCUAUAUAAUGUGCUGGCAGGAAAAUUUUGAAGGCGUUGUGGUUCUGCCAUAUGCAGCUGAGUGGCAGCUAGAUGCCUAGCUGUUUAGCUUUGCAUCAUUCAUCUCUUAUGAGUAAUGUUAAAGAAAUUUCCAAUAGAAAGACUUGGCUCAGAUAGGAUGUUGAUUGUUGAUCAUAAAGUGUUUCAAUUCAAAAGAAUCUAGAAGAAAACUUCUGCAAGCAUAUUUUCUUGUUAACCACAGAAGGG
This is a long non-coding RNA of Quercus robur (English oak), 1229 nucleotides long. RefSeq lists it as uncharacterized. The transcript is spliced from 4 exons. NCBI's taxonomy places the organism in Eukaryota, Viridiplantae, Streptophyta, Magnoliopsida, Fagales, Fagaceae. The record is from RefSeq and is a predicted model, not a curated record.